GACGUAGGGCGCGAGCGUUGUCCGGAUUUAUUGGGCGUAAAGAGCUCGUAGGCGGCUUGUUGCGUCGGCUGUGAAAACCCAUGGCUCAACCGUGGGCUUGCAGCCGAUACGGGCAGGCUAGAGUUCGGUAGGGGAGACUGGAAUUCCUGGUGUAGCGGUGAAAUGCGCAGAUAUCAGGAGGAACACCGGUGGCGAAGGCGGGUCUCUGGGCCGAUAUUGACGCUGAGGAGCGAAAGCGUGGGGAGCGAACAGG
This 253-nucleotide ribosomal RNA is filed under the name uncultured bacterium. RNAcentral's name for it is "partial 16S ribosomal RNA". It matches the Rfam family "Bacterial small subunit ribosomal RNA", at positions 524 to 776 of the family's 1533-position model. The record is from RNAcentral.